GACGAACGCUGGCGGCGUGCUUAACACAUGCAAGUCGAACGGAAAGGCCCUGCUUUUGUGGGGUGCUCGAGUGGCGAACGGGUGAGUAACACGUGGUUAACCUGCCCUUGACUUUGGGAUAACUUCAGGAAACUGGGGCUAAUACCGGAUAGGAGCUCCUGCUGCAUGGUGGGGGUUGGAAAGUUUCGGCGGUUGGGGAUGGACUCGCGGCUUAUCAGCUUGUUGGUGGGGUAGUGGCUUACCAAGGCUUUGACGGGUAGCCGGCCUGAGAGGGUGACCGGCCACAUUGGGACUGAGAUACGGCCCAGACUCCUACGGGAGGCAGCAGUGGGGAAUAUUGCACAAUGGGCGGAAGCCUGAUGCAGCAACGCCGCGUGCGGGAUGACGGCCUUCGGGUUGUAAACCGCUUUCGCCUGUGACGAAGCGUGAGUGACGGUAAUGGGUAAAGAAGCACCGGCUAACUACGUG
RNAcentral lists this ribosomal RNA (468 nucleotides) under uncultured bacterium. Its description in RNAcentral is "partial 16S ribosomal RNA". It matches the Rfam family "Bacterial small subunit ribosomal RNA", at positions 28 to 507 of the family's 1533-position model. The record is from RNAcentral.